UACGGGGGGGGCAAGCGUUGUUCGGAAUUAUUGGGCGUAAAGAGCUCGUAGGCGGUUCCGUAAGUCGGGUGUGAAAAAUCUGGGCUCAACCCAGUGGAGCACCCGAUACUGCGGUGACUCGAGUCCGGUAGGGGAGUGUGGAAUUCCUGGUGUAGCGGUGAAAUGCGCAGAUAUCAGGAGGAACACCGACGGCGAAGGCAGCACUCUGGGCCGGUACUGACGCUGAGGAGCGAAAGCAUGGGGAGCGAACAGG
RNAcentral lists this ribosomal RNA (253 nucleotides) under uncultured bacterium. RNAcentral describes it as "partial 16S ribosomal RNA". It matches the Rfam family "Bacterial small subunit ribosomal RNA", at positions 524 to 776 of the family's 1533-position model. The record is from RNAcentral.